CAGUCGCCGCGGUAAUACAGAGGGUGCGAGCGUUAAUCGGAUUUACUGGGCGUAAAGCGUGCGUAGGCGGAUUCUUAAGUCGGAUGUGAAAUCCCUGAGCUUAACUUAGGAAUUGCAUUCGAUACUGGGAAGCUAGAGUAUGGGAGAGGAUGGUAGAAUUCCAGGUGUAGCGGUGAAAUGCGUAGAGAUCUGGAGGAAUACCGAUGGCGAAGGCAGCCAUCUGGCCUAAUACUGACGCUGAGGUACGAAAGCAUGGGGAGCAAACAGGAUUAGAUACCCGCGUAGUCCCUGUCUCUUAUAC
Molecule: ribosomal RNA, 301 nt
Filed under: uncultured bacterium
Lineage: Bacteria
Description: partial 16S ribosomal RNA
Rfam family: Bacterial small subunit ribosomal RNA
Source: RNAcentral